RNAcentral lists this long non-coding RNA (276 nucleotides) under Physcomitrium patens. Its description in RNAcentral is "long non-coding RNA (PPAT_LNC006546)". Lineage: Eukaryota; Viridiplantae; Streptophyta; Bryopsida; Funariales; Funariaceae. The record is from RNAcentral.
UAUAUAUAUAGUAUAUUUUCUUUUAGGGCAAUUACAUCAAUAUAUAAGCCAAGUACCAAAAAAACAUCCAAAUAUAUGAUAAAGUAUCUUAAAACCUUAUAUAUCCUUAUAAGAAAUAUUUCCUAAACUUCAACAUCUCAUAUCUCACGAUUGAAUAGUCCAAAAAAUCCUAAAUUUUACAUGGAGUACUGAUAUACUUUCAAAAACUACCACAAAAAAAUUCAACUCCAAAUUCAUUAGAAAUCUUGAGAUAUUGCCAAAAUCCUAAUAUUAGCU